RNAcentral lists this ribosomal RNA (442 nucleotides) under Ophraella sexvittata. Its description in RNAcentral is "16S ribosomal RNA, large subunit". Lineage: Eukaryota; Metazoa; Arthropoda; Insecta; Coleoptera; Chrysomelidae. The record is from RNAcentral.
NNAAUUAAAUGGCCGCAGUAUUUUGACUGUGCUAAGGUAGCAUAAUCAUUAGUUUUUUAAUUGAAAGCUGGAAUGAAGGGUUGGAUGAAAAAAAGACUAUUUUUAUUUAAUUAUAUUAUAACUUUAUUUUUAAGUUAAAAAGCUUAAAUUAUAUUAAAAGACGAGAAGACCCUAUAGAGUUUUAUAUAAAUUAUUUUUAAUAAUAUUAGUAUUAAAUUUUUUAUUUUUAAUUUAUAUUUGAUUGGGGUGAUUAAAAAAUUUAUUUAACUUUUUUUUUAUUUUAAUAUAAAUAAAUAAUUUUUUGAUCCAACAUUUUUGAUUAUAAGAUAAAAUUACCUUAGGGAUAACAGCGUAAUUUUAUUAGAGAGUUCUAAUCGAUAAUAAAGAUUGCGACCUCGAUGUUGGAUUAAAAUUUAUAAUUGGUGUNNNNNNNNNNNNNNNN